AUUAGUUUCGAAAAGAUACAGUGAAGACCAGGGAAAGAUUCUCUCUUCGAUUGAACGAGCUUAAACACGGGUUGUUCAAUAAUCAUAACAGCUGUUGCUUUUCUUCUUUGCCUUUCAUAUUCAAGUGCAUCACCGGUUUCUGACAGGAUCUCUACCAACCUUGAAGUGCAUAGGCGCAUAG
Molecule: long non-coding RNA, 181 nt
Organism: Pocillopora damicornis (cauliflower coral)
Lineage: Eukaryota; Metazoa; Cnidaria; Anthozoa; Scleractinia; Pocilloporidae
Source: RefSeq, a predicted model, not a curated record